This is a non-coding RNA of Macaca mulatta (Rhesus monkey), 4560 nucleotides long. The record is from RefSeq and is a predicted model, not a curated record. NCBI's taxonomy places the organism in Eukaryota, Metazoa, Chordata, Mammalia, Primates, Cercopithecidae.
GUGCUCGUCCCACCAGUCGGGCGAUGAGUUGGUCUGACUGGUGGCCCCUGGCACCAGGCUUCCCCAUGGGCACUGGAGCAGGCGGACAGGGGUGGGGCCCCGCGAGCGACACGGAAGGGUCAGGGUGGCGGAGCGGACCCUGUGGAGGCGGGGUCACUGUGCUCCUGCGAAGGGUCUUCGGGGGUGGAGUCUAUCAAGGGUGCGGGGGCGUGGUCACGGAGCGGGGCCAAUAAAAGGUGACGGUGGCGGGCCGGUGCCUAUGAAGGGCGAGGGGUGUGGUCACAGGGCGGGAUCUACAAGGGAUGCAGGGGCGAGGCCGGGUCUCUGAAGGAUGUGCGGUCGCGGGGCGGAGUCUAUAAAGGACAAGGGGCGUGUCCCUGGGUGGGGUGAGAGGUGUGGUCAUGGGGUGCAGGUCUGUGUAGGCUGAGGAGCUUGUUCCCCGAGUGAGGGUCUGUGAAGGGUGAGGGCGUGUUCCUGGGGUGGGGGUGUUUGUGAAGGAUGAGAGUUUUUCUGGCAUGAGGGGCUGGUGAAGGGUGAGGGGCGUUUUCCCGGCUUGAGGGUCUGUGAAGAGUGAGAGCCGUGUUGCCGCUGGUGCAGGUCUGUGAAGGGUGAGGGGCGCGUUCCCGGAAUGAGGGUCUGUGAAGGGUGAGGGGCGCGUUCCCGGAAUGAGGGUCUGUGAAGGGUGAGGGGCGUGUUCCUGGGGUGGGGGUGUUUGUGAAGGAUGAGAGUUUUUCCGGCAUGAGGGACUGUUAAGGGAGAGGGGUGUUUUCCUGGCUUGAGGGUCUGUGAAGGCUGAGAGCCAUGUUGCCGGUGGUGCGGGUCUGUGAAGGGUGAGGAGAGUGUUCCUGGAGCAGGAUAUGUGAAGGGUGAAUGACGUGCUUUCGGGUGAGGUUAGUGCAGGACGAGCGGAGUUGUCUCGGGGCUGUGUCCUCUAAGGUGGGGACGUGGUUUCUGGGCGGGGUCCGCCAUUUUGUCUGGUGAAAGUGAGAAAGGGAGGGUCCAGGGACAAGCGAGACUCCCACCUCUGGCCUCAUCCUCCAGCCCUGCGUUUUCCCCACUUGUACUGCCAGAAAGCUGAGUGGUGGCAGUCACUUUUGGAGUCUUCCUGAGACGAUCCACCAAUAUGAAGUAAACUCGAGGAGGUUUUUCAGUGUCCACACUCAGGGUUAUUUCCCAGCGGAAGCAGGGGAAAAUGCCAUGGGUCAUUGCUCUGCCAGGGCCUCCCUGCACAGGUGAGUGAGGAGAUUCUUAGGUCAAGACAAAGCAUAAACAAUCAACUCCAACAGAAAAAUCUGAAGAACAAUUACAAGGAGUAACUCAGGAGAUUUUCCCAAGAGGCAAUCCAGAGGAGUUUGAGUUUCGAUCAGCUUGCAGGAUUGAGACAGGAGCAGAAUAUUGCUGGAAAAAAUUCACAAUAAAGACCGGGAUGGCCGUGCGCGGUGGCUCACGCCUGUAAUCCCAGCACUUUGGGAGGCUGAGGUGGGCAGAUCAUGAGGUCAGGAGAUUGAGACCAUCCUGGUUAACACCAUGAAACCCCGUCUCUACUAAAAAUACAAAAAAUUAGCUGGGCGUGGUGGCGGGCGCCUGUAGUUCCAGCUACUCAGGAGACUGAGGCAGGAGAAUAGCCAGAACCCGGGAGGCGGAGCUUGCAGUGAGCCGAGACUGCGCCACUGUACUCCAGCCUGCAGCCUGGGCGACACAGCAAGACUCCGUCUCAAAAAACAAACAAAAAAACCCAGGAUGAAGUUAUUUCCCCAAAAGAGAGGUUCGAGGCAAGUGGUCAGCUCCCACUUGAAAAUCAAUGCAGCAGACAAAUACCAGGAAUGUAAUAAAUUGGAGAAAAGUUUGUCUCUGGGCACAAAACCUGUUGUACGUCUGAGGGACAGGCCAGAAGAGAGAGCCAGUAGCUGGAGGAUGGGUGGCUGAGGCUUUCCCUGUGAGUCAUGUCUGAGUGGACAUCAAGCAGUUACCAGUGGGUCAAAGCCCCAUGGAUGUCAUGUGUGUGGGAAGUCUUUCAGCAAGAACUCACACCUUACUUGGCAUCAGAUAAUUCAUACUACAGAGAAGCCUUGUGUAUGUAUUGAAUGUGGGGAAAAAAUCACAACUCAAGCCUUAUACAACAUCAGAAAAUUCACUGUGGAUGGUGAAACCCUAUCUCUACUAAAAAUACAAAAAUUAUCUGGGUGUGGUGGUGCAUGCCCAUAAUCCCAGCUACUCAGGAGGCUGAAGCAGAAGAAUUGCUUGAACUAGGGAGGCGGAGGUUGCAGUGAGCUGAGAUUGCGGCACUGCACUCCAGCCUGCGUGACAGAGUGAGAUUCCGUCUAAAAAAAAAAAAAGGCCAGGCGCGGUGGCUCACGCCUGUAAUCCCAGCACUUUGGGUGGCUGAGGCGGGCAGAUCACAAGGUCAGGAGAUUGAGACUAUCCUGGCGAACACGGUGAAACCCCUUCUCUACUAAAAAUACAAAAAUAAAUUAGCCAGGCAUGGUGGCGGGCGCCUGUAGUCCCAGCUACUUGGGAGGCUGAGGCAGGAGAAUGGCGUGAACCUGGGAGGCGGAGCUUGCAGUGAGCAGAGAUCACGCCACUGCACUCCAGCCUGGGAGACAGUGAGACUCCAUCUCAAAAAAAAAAAAAGGAAAAGAAAAUUUAUGGUGGAGAGAAACACUAUGUGUGUAGUGAAUUUGGCAAGGGCUUUAGGGAGACAUCAAAACUUGUUAAACAUCAGAUAAUUCAUACUGGAGAAAAGCCCUAUGGGUGGAAUGAAUAUGGCACAGCUUUUAGUGGGAAUUCAAACCUUAUUAAACACCAACUGAUACAUACUGGAGAGAAGCCCUAUAAAUGUAUUGAGUGUGGGAAAGCCUUUAAUCCGAAAGCAAAUCCCAGGCAAUAUCAGAGAAUUCGUACAGGAGAGAAACUUUUUGAAUGUAAAGAGUGUGGAAAAAGCUUCAGUCAGCCAUCACACAUGAUUCAUAAUCAAAGGAUGCAUUUUUGAGAGAAGCCCUAAAAAUGCAAUGAGUGCGGAAGGGGCUUCAAACAUCACACCGGAUUGAUCAUCAAAGAAUACACACUGGAGAGAAAACUUACUUGUGUGUCAUGUGUGGGAGAGGCUUCAUUCAGAUAUCACACUUGAUUCAUUGCCAUAGAACACAUUCUGUAGAGAAGCCACACGCAUGUAGUGAAUGUGGGAAAUGCUUCAGCCAGAGCUCAACUCUUACUAGACAUUAGGUUAUUCACACUAUGGAGAGCGAAUAUAAGUUAAAGGAAUGUGCGCAGGCUUUCAGGGUGAGCUAGCUUCUCAGUCACUAUCUCACAAAUUCUACUGGAGAGGAACCCCUCAAUUCAUACAGGAGGGAAAAGCAUCCAAGAAUGCAACAAAGGUGGGAAGCGUUUCAUUGUAGCUCAUUAUACAAUGUCAUGAGAGUUCCUAUUGGAGAGAACCCCGAUGGAUGUAAUGAAUGUUGAAAAAACAUUUAGCUGGAACUCACAUAUUAUUUACAAUGAGAUAAUUCAUAGAGAAUAUAAUGGAUAUGAGAGGCGUUGGUGUACUGUGGGAAGUAGGUGAAAAUGUGGGUUCCUGCUGUUGCCCUUUUGAAUAAAAUGCCCUAGCAGGUGCUUGCCGCAGGGUGGCCAUGCUCUGUAGGGAAUCUUGCUUUAGACUGGGAUUGUCAGAUGGAGACAAAGCCUUAUUCCUGGCUGGGAAUGCCACUGGAAAUGCUAGGGGAGACCAGGAUCCAUGGUGUGGCCUGAUCUCAAAUAUGCAGAAACCAGAAGCAGAGACCAGACCCACAGAGAGGCAGAUAAAUGCAACCCCCAAAGUGGAUGCACAGGAAAAUGGAAAACCAUUAGAGUUAGUGUUGGGUCCCCAAAGCUGCCUUUUUAUCCUGAACAAUGAUGAGCAAUGACUCAAGGUCUUCGUGAAACCAAACAGAAUAGCUGAGGUAGCUUCCUAUACCUCUGCACCAAGUUUCUUAAAUCUGAAAGCAUGUAGAAUGAGUGUCAGCCACACCAAUAUGUAGGAUCUGUAUUUUCAUCAGAAGGCAAUCCAUUGCGGCUACUGGCUACACUGAAAACAUAAAAUUAUUUUAACAUAAGCCUUCAGCAGCUUAGGAUAAAAUAAAAUCCUUGACUUUAGAAUGAAGUUUUCACUAUGAAAUGAAAUCAAGGCUGGGCACAGUGGCUUCCGCCUGUAAUCCCAGCAUUCUGAGAGACCAAGAUGGAUCCCUUGAGGCCAGGACUUUGAGACCAGCCUGGCAACAUGGUGAGACCCCAUCUCUACAAAGAAAUAAAGUUAGCCAGGUAUGGUGGUGGGUACCUGCCAUCCCAGCUACUUGGGAGGCUGAGGUGAAAGGAUCAUUUGAACUCAGGAGGUUGAGGCUGGAGUGAGCCAUGGUUGUACCACUGUACUCUGGCCUAGGCAACAGAGCAAGUCUCUGGCCCAAAAAUAUAUGUGUUAAAGAUUACUUAUAUCUAGUUCACACCUCCCAAAGGUAAUUCGAAUUGAAAUAGUGAUGCAUACAAUAAUGUCAUUAAAGUAGAAACACAAAAUAAAGGAUUAUAAAGCCA